RNAcentral lists this ribosomal RNA (253 nucleotides) under uncultured bacterium. RNAcentral's name for it is "partial 16S ribosomal RNA". It matches the Rfam family "Bacterial small subunit ribosomal RNA", at positions 524 to 776 of the family's 1533-position model. The record is from RNAcentral.
UACGUAGGGUGCAAGCGUUAUUCGGAAUUACUGGGCGUAAAGCGUGCGCAGGCGGUGAUGUAAGUCAGGUGUGAAAUCCCCGGGCUUAACCUGGGAACUGCAUUUGUGACUGCAUCGCUGGAGUGCGGCAGAGGGGGGUGGAAUUCCACGUGUAGCAGUGAAAUGCGUAGAUAUGUGGAGGGACACCGAUGGCGAAGGCAGCCCCCUGGGUUAACACUGACGCUCAUGCACGAAAGCGUGGGGAGCAAACAGG